CAAAAACAUUUUUUAUAGAUUUUAUUAUAAAUAAAACCUGCUCAAUGAAAAAUUAAAUAGCCGCAGAAUUUUUUAUACUGUGCUAAGGUAGCAUAAUCAUUUAUCUAUUAAUUGUAGAUUAGAAUGAAAGGUUAUACAUUUUAAAUUCUAUUUUUAAAUUUAUUAAUUAAAAUUAUUUUAAGUAUAAUAAAAUUCUUAUGUAAAAAAUAGACGAUAAGACCCUAUUGAACUUUACUGAAGUUUAACUGGGGUAGUUAUAUAAAAAUAAUUUUAUAAAUUUAAAUAAAAAAAUUUACCUAAUUAAAUUAAUAUAUUAAUCAAGUUACCAUAGGGAUAACAGCGUAAUAAUUUUUUAAAGCUCUCAUUUAAAAAAAAGAUUGCGACCUCGAUGUUGAAUUAAAAACAUCUAAAUUAAGAAACCUUAAUUUAAGAAAGUCUGUUCGACUUUUAAAAUUUUACGUGAUCU
This 466-nucleotide ribosomal RNA is filed under the name Miagrammopes sp. AGB-2012. RNAcentral describes it as "partial 16S ribosomal RNA". The record is from RNAcentral. Lineage: Eukaryota; Metazoa; Arthropoda; Arachnida; Araneae; Uloboridae.